UUAAUUGAAGAGUUUGAUCAUGGCUCAGAUUGAACGCUGGCGGCAGGCCUAACACAUGCAAGUCGAGCGGCAGCACAGAGGAACUUGUUCCUUGGGUGGCGAGCGGCGGACGGGUGAGUAAUGCCUGGGAAAUUGCCCGGUAGAGGGGGAUAACCAUUGGAAACGAUGGCUAAUACCGCAUAACCUCGCAAGAGCAAAGCAGGGGACCUUCGGGCCUUGCGCUACCGGAUAUGCCCAGGUGGGAUUAGCUAGUUGGUGAGGUAAGGGCUCACCAAGGCGACGAUCCCUAGCUGGUCUGAGAGGAUGAUCAGCCACACUGGAACUGAGACACGGUCCAGACUCCUACGGGAGGCAGCAGUGGGGAAUAUUGCACAAUGGGCGCAAGCCUGAUGCAGCCAUGCCGCGUGUAUGAAGAAGGCCUUCGGGUUGUAAAGUACUUUCAGUAGGGAGGAAGGUGGUUAAGUUAAUACCUUAAUCAUUUGACGUUACCUACAGAAGAAGCACCGGCUAACCCCGUGCACGCAGCUGCGGUCAUACGGAGGGUGGAAGCGUGAAACGAAAUUACUGGGCGUAAAGCGCAUGAAG
RNAcentral lists this ribosomal RNA (585 nucleotides) under Vibrio cholerae. Its description in RNAcentral is "bacterial SSU rRNA". It matches the Rfam family "Bacterial small subunit ribosomal RNA", at positions 1 to 574 of the family's 1533-position model. The record is from RNAcentral. Lineage: Bacteria; Pseudomonadati; Pseudomonadota; Gammaproteobacteria; Vibrionales; Vibrionaceae.